GGUUGUCUCGGACCUCCCCUCACCUGGUUGUCUAGGACCUCCUCCUCGUUGUCUCGGACCUCCCCUCACCUGGUUGCAGGAAGGAGUUUUUGUAAGUCGCUCUGGAUAAGAGCGUCUGCUAAAUGUAAAUGUGUCGCGUUUUAUUCCCUCCUCCCCCACUGAUUCAGUAGCAGGAAGGAGUUUUGAGGUGUUACGAUAUCAUAGAGCCUUUUAGCGUCACAGAAUACCAGUUUACUGAUAGCAUUAAUACAACGUUUGUUAGUUUGUACAUAUACCAGUAACAGGAUCCAUAUUUACUUGUUUCUCCAUCAUGUCUUUUACGUUUGUAGGAGAGGUUGUUGUUUUAACUCUAUUUUUUUGUCAGAUGAUCUGUCUGUGUGUAAGAUUUAUUGUUAAUAAUUGUAAAGGAUCAAAAUAAAUGGAGUUUGUAGA
Oncorhynchus gorbuscha (pink salmon) is the source of this 432-nucleotide long non-coding RNA. RefSeq lists it as uncharacterized. The record is from RefSeq and is a predicted model, not a curated record. Lineage: Eukaryota; Metazoa; Chordata; Actinopteri; Salmoniformes; Salmonidae. The transcript has 2 exons.